Molecule: ribosomal RNA, 514 nt
Filed under: uncultured bacterium
Lineage: Bacteria
Description: partial 16S ribosomal RNA
Source: RNAcentral
GGAGUUAGCCGGUGCUUCUUCUGCGAGUAACGUCACAGAUGUAAGGUAUUAACUUACACCCUUUCCUCCUCGCUGAAAGUGCUUUACAACCCGAAGGCCUUCUUCACACACGCGGCAUGGCUGCAUCACGGGUUUCCCCCAUUGUGCAAUAUUCCCCACUGCUGCCUCCCGUAGGAGUCUGGGCCGUGUCUCAGUCCCAGUGUGGCUGAUCAUCCUCUCAGACCAGCUAGGGAUCGUCGCCUAGGUGAGCCUUUACCUCACCUACUAGCUAAUCCCACCUGGGCUUAUCCAUCAGCGCAAGGCCCGAAGGUCCCCUGCCUUUCCCCCGUAGGGCGUAUGCGGUAUUAGCAGUCGUUUCCAACUGUUAUCCCCCACAAAUGGGCAAAUUCCCAGGCAUUACUCACCCGUCCGCCGCUCGUCAUCUUCAAAAGCAAGCUUUUAGAAAUGUUACCGCUCGACUUGCAUGUGUUAGGCCUGCCGCCAGCGUUCAAUCUGAGCCAGAAUCAAACUCUGA